This 68-nucleotide transfer RNA is filed under the name Folsomia candida. It matches the Rfam family "tRNA". From Rfam's summary of the family: Transfer RNA (tRNA) molecules are approximately 80 nucleotides in length. Their secondary structure includes four short double-helical elements and three loops (D, anti-codon, and T loops). Lineage: Eukaryota; Metazoa; Arthropoda; Collembola; Entomobryomorpha; Isotomidae. The record is from Rfam by way of RNAcentral.
GCGAUAGUGGUGUAGCAGCAUAGUAGCCUUCCAAGCUGUUGACCGGAGUUCGAUUCUCCGCUAUCGCA